GGUUAUGAAAAUAUCUGUAGAUAAAGAUAUAGAUAUGUGGUGUCAAACUUCCUAGUUCCAAGGAAUGAACUCCAAGAAGUAAGACUCUUCUAAUAACCAAGGGAUAAUGCAGAAUCACUUUGCCUGGAUCCAUAUCACAAUAAAAAUGAACAGCAAGAAAUUAAUACAUUGCAAAUGGUGGUUGACAGUCAUGAGGAGAGACCCCUUCUUCCUCUGUUUGCUUAAUUUUCUUCUAGAUUUUCCAGGGAGAUCUGUCAGUUAUUAACAGGUUAGAUUCUUACCUCAUUCAGUCUUCAUGUAGGCCUAGAAUUGAUGAUCAACAUCAAGUAGUUUUGACUGUUUAAUGUAAAACUAGAAAAAAUGUCAAGAGAUGUUUGUGUGUGUUCAACAGGGCGGCAAGAAAUGUGUUUGUUUACACUGCUUAUACACCAGAAUACAAUAUGUGAGAUACUAUGGAUUAUGAUUCACUUAUCAGCAAGCAAGAAAAUGUGAGUGGUAUAAGAACAUAGAAAUGUCUGUCCUAGGAUUGCCUCACAAAGUAUUUUAAUUGUUUUAAUUUAAAACAACAAGAAGGUAUUUUCCCCUCUUUUUUAUCCAACUAGGUAAAUAAUUACUUCUGUUUUCUUUCCAAGUAUUGUAUGGAAGGCAAUAUAAACAUCAGAAGAUGACUUCUUGAUUCACUUCCAGAUGGAAUAAGUUAAGUAAUUUGGAAGACAGAAGUCCUGAUAUUGAAUCAAUAGCCAUUCACACCACUUAGGAACAAAAUCACAGGUAUAUGGAAAUAAACGCACCUCUUAUUUAGAGCCCUCUUCCAAUGCCUUAGUGAGAGGGGAAGUUGUUCUUUAUUGGAGAAGAUUAUGUACAUUUCCUUAAUCUUAUUCCUAUGAGUGAAUUACUUUAGACAAAUGCCUGAAAGCAUUCAGAUUCAAAGGCAUUUGCCUCUAAUAGAAUUGUGAUAACCUGACCGCAAGUAGAGAGUUUCAUUCAUAACAUCCCAAAACAUAAACUGAGUUCUGUGAAUCAUAGAUAGAGACAUCGAUUCAUUGCCUUUUCAAUAGAUUACUACUUGGAAGUGCAUUUUAACCUUUUUUCUCUUUACUUGGUUUCCUUACAUUCAAAAGAUUGUUUCUACCAAAGUUUCUAAAUUGCUUUGUAUACAUAGUAUAUAUCUUCAGGGUGGUUGAUUGAGAUGGGGGUGUUGGAGAAAAGUAGAUUAGGAAAUGAUUUCUUAGAAUUCUUCAUGACCUUGUAUUAGGAAGAAAUGGUGGUUCUAGCCAUUGUGAGUAACUUACCCAGGGUUGAUUUUAAAACUUGUAAAAGGGUGAGUUUUUAAAGGAAAACAGGCAGAAAAGCAUCUAUCUUGAAAUAAUUCUAGCUUUCUUUUUCCUUGUUCCUCAAAAGUUACCAAUGAUGACUUCAAUUUUUAUUGUCCAUAGAAAUAUGGACAAUAAAAAUUGAUGUUGGCACAUUCAAAAUGAAACCACAGAACAGCAAAGUCCAAACCGGGAAGGUCUGGUGUUUACCUGCUGCUGCUAAGUCGCUUCAGUCGUGUCCGACCCUGUGCGACCCCAU
Molecule: long non-coding RNA, 1572 nt
Filed under: Capra hircus (goat)
Lineage: Eukaryota; Metazoa; Chordata; Mammalia; Artiodactyla; Bovidae
Description: lncRNA (ENSCHIG00010004420.1)
Source: RNAcentral